Molecule: ribosomal RNA, 192 nt
Filed under: uncultured Burkholderiales bacterium
Lineage: Bacteria; Pseudomonadati; Pseudomonadota; Betaproteobacteria; Burkholderiales
Description: partial 16S ribosomal RNA
Rfam family: Bacterial small subunit ribosomal RNA
Source: RNAcentral
GGGAUAGCCCGGCGAAAGCCGGAUUAAUACCGCAUACGAUCUACGGAUGAAAGCGGGGGACCUUCGGGCCUCGCGCUAUAGGGUUGGCCGAUGGCUGAUUAGCUAGUUGGUGGGGUAAAGGCCUACCAAGGCGACGAUCAGUAGCUGGUCUGAGAGGACGACCAGCCACACUGGGACUGAGACACGGCCCAG